GAUGAACGCUGGCGGCGUGCUUAACACAUGCAAGUCGAACGAAGCACUAUAGCAGAUUUCCUUCGGGAAUGAAACUGUAUUGACUGAGUGGCGGACGGGUGAGUAACGCGUGGGUAACCUGCCUUGUACAGGGGGAUAACAGUUAGAAAUGACUGCUAAUACCGCAUAAGCAUACAGCAUCGCAUGGUGCAGUGUGAAAAACUAUGGUGGUACAAGAUGGACCCGCGUCUGAUUAGCUAGUUGGUAAGGUAACGGCUUACCAAGGCGACGAUCAGUAGCCGGCCUGAGAGGGUGAACGGCCACAUUGGGACUGAGACACGGC
This 322-nucleotide ribosomal RNA is filed under the name uncultured bacterium. RNAcentral describes it as "bacterial SSU rRNA". It matches the Rfam family "Bacterial small subunit ribosomal RNA", at positions 28 to 330 of the family's 1533-position model. The record is from RNAcentral.